CGAGCCUACAUCGCUUGCUGUGGUGUUGCUUGCAGUGGCAUCCUAGAUUCUAACCAUUACAUCUCUUUAUAUCCUAUCUCUUCAAUGCCUUGCAUACCAUCAUACCCUGCCUCUUACAAUACCCUCCAGCGUAUCCUACAUCCCUUGAUACCCCAUUUCACAAGAUAUCUUGCAUCUCUUGAUACCUUGCCUCCCUCAAUAUUCCACCUCCAUAUAUGCCUCGCCUUCCUUAAUACCCUACCUCUUUCAAUAUUCUCGUUUCUUUGUCUAAUCCAAACACCCCUCACAGACUUCAAUUCAUACUCAAAACAAAUGUAAACUC
RNAcentral lists this long non-coding RNA (322 nucleotides) under Physcomitrium patens. RNAcentral describes it as "long non-coding RNA (PPAT_LNC000930)". The record is from RNAcentral. Lineage: Eukaryota; Viridiplantae; Streptophyta; Bryopsida; Funariales; Funariaceae.